CUCACGGACAAGUGCGGCGGCCACGGGCAAGCUAUGGCAGUAGUCGCGUUGUUAAGAGCAGUCACCGGUUCUUUUGUCUUCAUGUGCAGCGCGCUGCAUGCCGGACUCCCCUCCUCCUCCUUCUCCACACCACCACCCCCCCCCCCACUCCUUGUUUCCCUCCAUCCAUCCGUCCCUGCCUCCUCCAUCCCGCGAACACCCUGCCGAGCCGCGCCAAUCGCUCACGGCCCCAGGAAGAAGAAAACCAACUUAUCUCGUGGCAGCGAGCAAGGGGCACGUGUUGGGGGGGGGGGGGGGGUGUAGUCGUUGUCGACGCGGCCACACCUUGAGACGCCCCUGCCCCGUGCUCCCUGCGAAGACGGACACUGCCCCCCCCCCUACCAAAUUGCCUCCCUUGCUCGUUAUCACCGCAGCGGCGUGGCAGCGUGACAGCCACACUCCGCUCACUCAUUCGGCUUUUGCGGAUGAAUUUCACGGUUUGAUUUUCAGCCGGGGCUGUGCCGGGGGUGGUGGGGGCUGAGCUCCGGAAAAGACUCUCGCCACUUCGGGGGAGGCGGGGAGACGGGGGUCUCUGGAAGACCUUCCACGAUAAACGAAGCCCUUGAUGAAUCAAUCAUCGGAUAUGCGUUGUUACAUAACGCGUGUGUUUAUAUAUUUGCAAACGCUAUACAACAAAGCAGCACGGUUGGCACGCGUUUGUGCAGUAUUAAUGAUCAUUGAAAUCGUGCCUUUUGUCAAUCCACCGCCUUGGUCACGGGGGAUUCUAUUCCACGGCCAUACUUCACCACCCCUGGUCAGUGAAGGGGUUGAUGGAACAAGGCAAAGGUGAUGCGAGGUGCUGUUUGUUGCUGGCCUCAUGGUGUUUUUGGGCCGUUGGGGCCCUGCCUCAGCUACCCCUCAAGUCGAAUCGUCUCGAGCCAACGGUGGCACCAGUGAGCAGUUGCAGAGGCUGCACCUUCCAUGUACUGCAACGAACGUAAAUCUGUCUCGAGUCAACGCUGGAGUUGUUCACAUGAGAUUCGCGGUUUAUGGAUCGCAAACAUGGCUCUUCGCCGAGAAACGAGUUAACAAAAAGAACAAGCCACACGUUCGCCUAAAUAUGUGUGGAACGUAAAUGUGGGAGUAAGUCGAAGUUAAAGGUUAAGUGAUGCAUUGUACAGGGUGCUUAAAUAUUUUUUUUGUAUAAAUCACUUAUUUGGGACUUACAUUUUUAAUGGAAAAGAACGGACAGUACACCGUAACAUGAGAACAAAUGUGAUGUUAAUCGCUUCAAAAAGUCAAAGAGCCUCCACUUGUUGGCAAUCGUUGUACACGCACGCCUGGAAUAUUCUCCAGGUGGUGUCCAGAGCCCCGAGGCAGCAGCACACUUACUGAAGCACCCUGUAUAAGGAAAACAAGCCGGGGUGCACUGAUGCUGUUGAUAAAACAAGCAAACAAACACACAAAAAAGCAUUGAAAAUUAGCAGCACACGUCAUGCGAACAACCGAUGAGAGGCAACAUCGACUGUGGAGCGGAGACCCAGAGAAGCAAAGAGAAGCAGAGAGGGGCAGCGGGAUGGAACGACAGCAGUGAGACGACACCGCAGAGUUCGGAGGCCACGUUGGGACACGAGGCAAGGAAGAGGAAGAAUUAAUAAUAAAGGUUUUUGGGUUAGAUCGCGUUAUUUAUAAAUGUGUCGUAAC
Molecule: long non-coding RNA, 1683 nt
Organism: Petromyzon marinus (sea lamprey)
Lineage: Eukaryota; Metazoa; Chordata; Hyperoartia; Petromyzontiformes; Petromyzontidae
Source: RefSeq, a predicted model, not a curated record